UACGGGGGGGGCAAGCGUUGUUCGGAAUUACUGGGCGUAAAGGGAGCGUAGGUGGCCCAGUAAGUCAGUGGUGAAAUCUCCUCGCUUAACGAGGAAAUUGCCAUUGAUACUGCAGGGCUUGAGUACAGUUGCCGUUGGCGGAAUAUGACAUGUAGUGGUGAAAUACUUAGAUAUGUCAUAGAACACCGAUUGCGAAGGCAGCUGACGAAACUGUAACUGACACUGAGGCUCGAAAGUGUGGGGAUCAAACAGG
RNAcentral lists this ribosomal RNA (253 nucleotides) under uncultured bacterium. RNAcentral's name for it is "partial 16S ribosomal RNA". It matches the Rfam family "Bacterial small subunit ribosomal RNA", at positions 524 to 776 of the family's 1533-position model. The record is from RNAcentral.